This 201-nucleotide ribosomal RNA is filed under the name Pseudo-nitzschia pungens. RNAcentral describes it as "partial Bacterial small subunit ribosomal RNA". It matches the Rfam family "Bacterial small subunit ribosomal RNA", at positions 1032 to 1232 of the family's 1533-position model. Lineage: Eukaryota; Bacillariophyta; Bacillariophyceae; Bacillariales; Bacillariaceae. The record is from RNAcentral.
UGACAGGUGCUGCAUGGCUGUCGUCAGCUCGUGUUGUGAAAUGUUGGGUUAAGUCCCGUAACGAGCGCAACCCUUGUCCUUAUUUGCCAGCACGUAAUGGUGGGAACUCUAAGGAGACUGCCGGUGACAAACCGGAGGAAGGUGGGGACGACGUCAAGUCAUCAUGGCCCUUACGAGUUGGGCUACACACGUGCUACAAUG